RNAcentral lists this ribosomal RNA (484 nucleotides) under uncultured bacterium. Its description in RNAcentral is "partial 16S ribosomal RNA". It matches the Rfam family "Bacterial small subunit ribosomal RNA", at positions 30 to 507 of the family's 1533-position model. The record is from RNAcentral.
AUUGAACGCUGGCGGCAGGCCUAACACAUGCAAGUCGAGCGGAUGAAGGGAGCUUGCUCCUGGAUUCAGCGGCGGACGGGUGAGUAAUGCCUAGGAAUCUGCCUGGUAGUGGGGGAUAACGUCGGGAAACGGGCGCUAAUACCGCAUACGUCCUGAGGGGGAAAGGGGGGGAUCUUCGGACCUCACGCUAUCAGAUGAGCCUAGGUCGGAUUAGCUAGUUGGUGGGGUAAAGGCCUACCAAGGCGACGAUCCGUAACUGGUCUGAGAGGAUGAUCAGUCACACUGGAACUGAGACACGGUCCAGACUCCUACGGGAGGCAGCAGUGGGGAAUAUUGGACAAUGGGCGAAAGCCUGAUCCAGCCAUGCCGCGUGUGUGAAGAAGGUCUUCGGAUUGUAAAGCACUUUAAGUUGGGAGGAAGGGCAGUAAGUUAAGACCUUGCUGUUUUGACGUUACCAACAGAAUAAGCACCGGCUAACUUCGUG